CCUACGGGAGGCAGCAGUGGGGAAUAUUGGACAAUGGGCGCAAGCCUGAUCCAGCAAUGCCGCGUGUGUGAAGAAGGUCUUCGGAUUGUAAAGCACUUUCGACGGGGACGAUGAUGACGGUACCCGUAGAAGAAGCCCCGGCUAACUUCGUGCCAGCAGCCGCGGUAAUACGAAGGGGGCUAGCGUUGCUCGGAAUGACUGGGCGUAAAGGGCGCGUAGGCGGAUGAUACAGUCAGAUGUGAAAUUCCCGGGCUCAACCUGGGGGCUGCAUUUGAUACGUGCUGUCUAGAGUGAGGAAGAGGGUCGUGGAAUUCCCAGUGUAGAGGUGAAAUUCGUAGAUAUUGGGAAGAACACCGGUGGCGAAGGCGGCGACCUGGUCCUUUACUGACGCUGAGGCGCGAAAGCGUGGGGAGCAAACAGGAUUAGAUACCCUGGUAGUCCACGCCGUAAACGAUGUGUGCUGGAUGUUGGGUGACAUAGUCACUCAGUGUCGUAGCUAACGCGAUAAGCACACCGCCUGGGGAGUACGGCCGCAAGGUUGAAACUUAAGGAAUUGACGG
RNAcentral lists this ribosomal RNA (560 nucleotides) under uncultured bacterium. Its description in RNAcentral is "bacterial SSU rRNA". It matches the Rfam family "Bacterial small subunit ribosomal RNA", at positions 338 to 916 of the family's 1533-position model. The record is from RNAcentral.